RNAcentral lists this transfer RNA (84 nucleotides) under Verrucomicrobiales bacterium. RNAcentral describes it as "tRNA-Leu". It matches the Rfam family "tRNA". From Rfam's summary of the family: Transfer RNA (tRNA) molecules are approximately 80 nucleotides in length. Their secondary structure includes four short double-helical elements and three loops (D, anti-codon, and T loops). Lineage: Bacteria; Pseudomonadati; Verrucomicrobiota; Verrucomicrobiia; Verrucomicrobiales. The record is from RNAcentral.
GCCGGUGUGGCGGAAUUGGCAGACGCGCUAGAUUCAAAAUCUGGUUCCCGCAAGGGAGUGGUGGUUCGAGCCCACUCACCGGUA